CAGUAGCCGCGGUAAUACGAAGGGGGCUAGCGUUGUUCGGAACUACUGGGCGUAAAGCGCACGUAGGCGGAUAUUUAAGUCAGGGGUGAAAUCCCAGAGCUCAACUCUGGAACUGCCUUUGAUACUGGGUAUCUUGAGUAUGGAAGAGGUGAGUGGAACUCCGAGUGUAGAGGUGAAAUUCGUAGAUAUUCGGAGGAACACCAGUAGCGAAGGCGGCUCACUGGUCCAUUACUGACGCUGAGGUGCGAAAGCGUGGGGAGCAAACAGGAUUAGAUACCCGGGUAGUCCCUGUCUCUUAUAC
Molecule: ribosomal RNA, 301 nt
Filed under: uncultured bacterium
Lineage: Bacteria
Description: partial 16S ribosomal RNA
Rfam family: Bacterial small subunit ribosomal RNA
Source: RNAcentral